UGGGCUGGGCGGGGGCAACCCCCCAACCGUUCAGUGAUGGAAAUCGACACCCCCGCUCGACAAGGAAAUGAUUUCCAUCCUCUAUAAGGCUGCGAGCUCAGCCUUAUCAAGUUGCGUAAAGAAAUUAUCGUGUUACCAACAUUUUGGCAAUGUCUGGUUGAGUUGAAGAUGUACUUUAAUCGCAACUGCACCAGUGUCUUUCUUACCUCCUUUUAAACCACAGACAAAUAGAGCAUAAUGCCAAUG
Molecule: long non-coding RNA, 246 nt
Filed under: Rattus norvegicus (Norway rat)
Lineage: Eukaryota; Metazoa; Chordata; Mammalia; Rodentia; Muridae
Description: long non-coding RNA NONRATT028695
Source: RNAcentral